This 126-nucleotide ribosomal RNA is filed under the name uncultured bacterium. Its description in RNAcentral is "partial 16S ribosomal RNA". It matches the Rfam family "Bacterial small subunit ribosomal RNA", at positions 1360 to 1482 of the family's 1533-position model. The record is from RNAcentral.
CGGUGAAUACGUUCCCGGGCCUUGUACACACCGCCCGUCAAGUCACGAAAGUUGGUAACACCCGAAGCCGGUGGCCUAACCCGUUUGGGAGGGAGCCGUCGAAAGGUGGGACCGGCGAUUGGGACU